AGAGGAGCGGCAGACGGGUGAGUGACGAGUGACAACCCACCGUGAGGUUCGCAACAACACAGGGCGACUGGUGAUAAUACCGGAUAAGCCGUUCCGGGGGAAGAUUCAUCCCCGAAAGAUCGUCCCGUGUGAGAAUAGAUUGGUGGAGACGAUACGGCUCACCAAGGAGAAGAUCAAUAGGUGGUGAGAGAGGAUUAUCACCCACAGGGGGAGUGAGACGCGGCCCAAACUCAUACGGGAGACAACAGUGGGGUAUACUGGACUAUGGGCGCACGCGUGAUCCAGCCAUGCCGUGUGAGUGAUAAACGCCCUAGUGUUGUAAAGCUCUUUUAGGGGGGAAGAUAAUGACGGUAUCUGUAGAAUAAGCCCCGGCUAACUUUGUGCCAGCAGCCGCGGUAAU
RNAcentral lists this ribosomal RNA (400 nucleotides) under uncultured bacterium. RNAcentral's name for it is "bacterial SSU rRNA". It matches the Rfam family "Bacterial small subunit ribosomal RNA", at positions 89 to 524 of the family's 1533-position model. The record is from RNAcentral.